RNAcentral lists this unclassified non-coding RNA (3765 nucleotides) under Hevea brasiliensis (rubber tree). The record is from RNAcentral. Lineage: Eukaryota; Viridiplantae; Streptophyta; Magnoliopsida; Malpighiales; Euphorbiaceae.
UUUUAAAAUCAAAAUCAAGGUACCUCUUUCAUAUCCAAAAUAUCCUUUUUUUGAAGUAGAAUACAACAUUUAUAUCUGAAUCAACUUGUUCUUGUUUUUAUGAUACAGAUACAACAGCAAAAAAGAGAAAAAAAAAAUCAUCUGAACUUCUACACCUUUUUAAUAUUUUGCAUGAAAAUAAUAGCUUCAAAAAAAGAGCUAUUACUUUUCUCUUUCCGGCUUAUGCAACCACUGACUUGCAAUUCUGUAGUUUACAUCAAGAUUCGAACAACAGCAAGACCAACAGCAGAUAUGGAAACAAGUGUACCUAUGCAGUACUUUAUCACAUCAUAUUUUGCAGCUUCCAAUUGGGCCCUUAAUGCGUGAAUUUCCUGAAUUAUAUUUUAUCAAAAAAAAUGUAAAAAAUGCAAUCAUCUAAACUUUACAAUUUGUCAAUUUCACUUGUAAUACUUACUCUAUCGAGUUUGUUGGUGAGGUUAGAGGUUUCAGCAUUCUGAUCUGCCAACUCAUCACGUAUCCUCCUUUGUUGUUUGAAAAACACGAGACAAUAAAACCAUGUCACUGAUUUAUCCUCAGAAGCAAGAAAUCAGUCAUAAGUAGUUUUCCUUACCCUCUUUCAAGAUUCAAAUCCAACCGCUGCCCAGCAGUAACUUUGUCAAUUUCAUGCCUGUAUCACAUCCAUUGUCUUAGCAUCAUGAAGAUCAUAAUAGAAGAAACAGAAAUUCACAUGGUAACAAACAAAAAUCUUGCAAGGUAACUCUAUAAAUCAAACCUCAAUUCACUGCGCAUCUUCUCGAUAUCAUUCCGAAGUUUUUCAGUCUCGUGUUGCAACAAAGAGAAAUGAUGUUCCUGUAUUAUAUAAUGUCCAGAUAUUUCAUAGAGGCAGGUUAGCAAAGAAAAAUUUAAUUAGACUCUAUAUCACUGCUAUACAUCAUAUAAGAUUCAAGAACAAAAGAAGUCGAGAGAUCAUGAAAUUGUCAACCCUAAUCUAAAUGUUCAGAGUGCAUUGAUGCUUUAGAGUCUGAUGUUCAAAGUGUCUUGUGGGUCUCUCUCUCCCUCUCUAUUCAUACCUCAUCUUUUUUAAUACUACCACUUCAGAGUCAAACAAAGUAACAAGGUGAGCUGAACUUUUGUUGAUAUGGUGCUGAUGUGAAUUAAAUAAUAUUGUCUUACAUAGUAGUUAGUACAGUGGUCCCACAUUACAUGAAGAUCAUUUUCCUUGUUAUAGCUCAAAAUAAAAGCUAAUAUUGUAAAAAGAAUAUAAAAAUAGUUAAAAAAAUAAAGAGGCUCUUCUUAAAUUUUCCAGACCUCAAAAAUUGAAACCAACAAUCUGCCUCCCCCACAUCCCUCACUGAAACUAAAACUUUAUCACCAACUCAGCUAAUUUGAUAAAUAUAAAAUAAAUAAGUUGUUGGCAAAAAAAUUCAAUAAAAUAAAAAGACAUGUAAAUUGAAAUUUUCACUAAAGGGUUUAUUCGUCUAUACACUAUAGGCCUUUGAUAAAUUUCAGAACUUGGAGGAAAAUAGGGGAAGAGAUAGAGAGAGAGAACAAAACAUAAAAUUUCCUAGAUACUUCUUUUGCCACAACAUAGCAUUUUCAACACAAUUUAUCAAGUGUCAAGAUUGGAAAUGAUUUAUAGCUGGACUCUUAAGUCUGCCAGCAUUAAUUUAGUGCUUUAGUGCAAGAUUAGCUGUUGAAGCAUUAUCUUUGUUCUCCCCAAAAAUUUUGUCAUAAAAAUAUAGCCAAAGGGCAACUCUUUUCACUGGAAACAUUGUGAAUGUAAAGCAAAAGCAGAAAGAGUGAAACAAGAUAUAAGACAUAAGACUAACCCUGGACUUGAAAUGUUUGAAGAAUGAAUCAUGCCAAUAUCACGAAGUACAUUUCAACACCUUAUUUUAUCAACUUGGAUUGCCGGGAUAGAAACUACUACACUUUAAGAAAUUCUAGUAUGUUCUAGUCCCAAGUGAAUAUACAUAGGUCCAGAGGAAACUUUAAAGCUCAGGCAUAAAACAAGGUUUUCCACCAUAGCAUUGGAAAUAUGGUUCAACAAUUGGCAUUUUCAAGGUUCCCCACCACCAUCAUUCUAAGGUAAAAGAUGUUAUAUUGAAUAAUGAUCGCUGUUGACCUGCAGCUAAAUCAGAAACUCUUAAACAAAUUUAAGGGAAACAGGAUCCUGCACAUUAAGAUACUACUAAACAUGGGAGCUACUCCUGGGAUUCCAUCAGGAUCAAAUCAAUUAAAGCAAGCCACCACAAAUUAGUCCAGUUUGUUCCUCUACUUUUAAAUAGUGUUGUACCUUAAGCUAUUUUUAGCAGGUUCCCACCACAGAGACAACAGAAGUGGACUAAUGGUCCUUAUACUAACAGACAAUGUCUGUUCCAUGCCAACUAACAAGAAACAGAGACCAUAUAUUUUAUGUGACUGCCAAAAACAUUUGGAACAGAAUCCUAUUACCUAGUGAUAUUAAAAGAUUUAGAAAGGAGUCUUUGCCUGAUUUACUUUGUUUAAUCCUAAACAUAGUUUCAUAUUGUAGACAACAGAGGGAUUAGCUUAGCAAAACUUGGGAAAUUUGAUCAUAUAUAUCCUUAAGCAAACUCAACAUAGGGAUUCAUUUGGAUGAAAAUCCUAUUACUCAGUAAAUGAUUAAAAGAAUAUCCAAAUUCCAGAAUUGAGAAUCCUCUAGAGCCACCGGCAAGUUGAAAGGAAAGGCAAUUCAAGGUCUUUAGCCAAGCUUGCUUUCCAUAGAUUCAUUUACAAUAUUUGGGUCAGAAAAAAUAUAUUCCAUUUUGGCAUUGCUGUUAAUUCUGCUUUGGACUAUCAUUGGAGAUGGGAUAUUCAUAUGCAUGAGCAUCAUGACCUUAAAAGGAUGAUGAUCUUUGCUAGUCAUAGGGACAUGUAGAUAUAUAAGACAGACUUUAAAGAUUAAGCAGUUGAGUAAGAUCCUAACUUUUUCCCCUCAAAUUGUCUCUGUUCUGAGGCUUGUAGGCUUGUAGCAGGCUCAGGACCCUACUCAGUAAAGGUUAUGUGUGCAUGGCAUGGCUUGGCUUGGAGAAACCAAGCCAAAAUGCAAUAAACAAUUUAUAAAAUUUUCAAAGUUAUUUUAACAGGUAAACGGAACUGAAAUACAAUGAUUUGAACAAGUUUUUAAAACAGUUUGAGCCCAUUCAAGAAACUUUAAAAAAAAAAAAAGAUGUGUAAUCUAAAAUUAUAUCCAACAUACUCCUAUAAUACUAAAUAAAACCUAAAAAUCGUGCAUAUAUCGUAAAAGCUAAAAGAAAACAAAAUGAAAUAAACAUGUCAAAUUGUUGUAAUCCUAAACCAGCCAAAAUGUCUAAUUCAAUGUCGUACUUUUUUAACGGUUUGAACUAAUUAAAAGCAAGUGCUCACACUCUUUGUUUAUUCAAUCUCAAAUUAUUUGAUUUGUCUGAUGUUUAUCCUAAGCAAAUAGCACUUAAUUACUGGUGAAGGUCAUAUUUGCGCAUGCUAACAAAUUCUGUAAGUAGAACAAUUGUUAUAACCAUUUUAGCUGAACCCUUCACCUUGGACUACCCAUAGAUAAUCCCAUGGUGUGUAUGUGCAUAAAUUAUGCUAAUUUAUAGCAUGAUUGAUUUCAAUUAGCAAAAUUUGUAAAAUUCAGGUGCAGAAAAAUCAAUAAAAUACAUAUGAAACUUAAAAAUUACUUGAUUUCAUCCAACAUGUUUUAAUUGUGGCUAAACUGCUAAAGACGAAACAUUUUUAAGCGUAACAAUAGAAUUAAAAACAAGU